GUCAGUCGACGGCUACUGCGGCGGAGAACGUCAACGCCUGGUCGGGAACGGCGUCGUUGCUGCCUUUGUUAGGUGCAUUUGUUGCCGAUUCAUUUCUUGGGAGAUUCCGUACUAUUGUUGUUGCCUCUCUUACCUACAUAUUGGGACUUGGCUUGUUGACUCUAUCAGCAAUGCUUCCUUCUUUCAGUGCUUCUGACUGCCCAAGCAUCAACAUUAUCACCUCGUGUUCAGCUAAUCCAAUUCAGGUAGUCUUAUUCUUCUUUUCUCUAUAUUUGGUAGCACUUGCGCAAGGUGGGCACAAACCUUGCGUUCAGGCUUUUGGAGCGGAUCAGUUUGAUGGACAAGACCCUAAGGAGUGCAAGGCCAAAAGCUCAUUUUUCAAUUGGUGGUACUUUUGCAUGUGUAGUGGCACCCUACUAACACUACUAGUCUUAAAUUACAUCCAAGACAACCUUAAUUGGGCUCUUGGAUUUGGAAUUCCAUGUAUUAUGAUGGUCAUUGCACUUAUUCUCUUCUUACUUGGAACUAAGACAUAUCGCUAUAGUGUCAAAGUAGAAGAGAAAAGUGCAUUUCUAAGGAUUGGUAAGGUAUUUGUUGCAGCAAUUAAGAAUUGGCGAACUUCUUCUUCUGCAAUAGCUUUAGAGGAAGAAGCACGUGGAAUGCUGCCUCACCAACGUUCUGAGCAAUUCAAGUUCCUCAACAAGGCCCUGCUUGCACCAAAUGGCUCCAAGGAAAGUGGGAAGGUGUGUAGCCUUACUGAAGUUGAAGAAGCGAAGGCGGUACUUAGGCUUGUUCCAAUAUGGGCUACAUGCUUGGUAUAUGCUGUUGUGUAUGCACAGUCCUCAACUUUCUUUACCAAGCAAGGAGUAACUAUGGAUAGAUCAAUUUCCCUGAGUUUUGAAGUACCACCAGCUGCACUUCAAUCUUUUAUCAGCCUUGCCAUUGUCUUAUUCAUUCCAAUCUAUGACCGUGUUUUUGUUCCCAUAGCAAGGGCCUUGACUGGGAAACCUUCUGGCAUCACAAUGCUUCAGAGGAUUGGAACUGGAAUGUUUUUAUCUGUUCUGUCUAUGGCAAUUGCUGCUUUGAUUGAGAUUAAGAGGCUU
This 1103-nucleotide unclassified non-coding RNA is filed under the name Hevea brasiliensis (rubber tree). Lineage: Eukaryota; Viridiplantae; Streptophyta; Magnoliopsida; Malpighiales; Euphorbiaceae. The record is from RNAcentral.